This is a long non-coding RNA of Bufo gargarizans (Asiatic toad), 547 nucleotides long. RefSeq lists it as uncharacterized. The transcript is spliced from 2 exons. NCBI's taxonomy places the organism in Eukaryota, Metazoa, Chordata, Amphibia, Anura, Bufonidae. The record is from RefSeq and is a predicted model, not a curated record.
CUCCCUACCUUCCUAUCUAACUGCACGGCGGCCCGUGCAAGACUUUACGACUGCGCCGAAGUUGGGAACACGCUGUCCCCUGAAACCCUACGAUGAAUGGCCGCAUGGGGAGCCGCACGUAGCUCCCUUGCCGAUCAUUCCGGUGCGGUGGUGCUCCCCCUCACCUUGGGGAGCCGAAACACCGCCGGCCGGACUACGUGGACAUGGCUGCUGGAUGAGGCAGCAUACUCACCUUUGACCGCAGACUCGUGAGCCCAGGAACACUGCCGACACCUGCCUGCAUGUGUGUCUGACUGACAAUCUAUUAUCUAAAGAGGAGAAGGAAGCCAUAAGAAAACUGGAAAAGCAGAAACCAAAUAUGAAGAUCAUUUACUGAACUGAGAAGAAGCCGAUUCCUCUCUGUGAUGAGCAGAUAACAGGACUUUGGUGGAGAAGACUUCUUCAGAAGUCUGGUAUUAGGAGCGUCUCCUGGUGCUUUAUGGGUAAUAUCACUGAUAUACAGAAGAUAAGGAAAUGUCUAAUAUUAUAAUAAACAUGAUACCAGAAA